RNAcentral lists this ribosomal RNA (510 nucleotides) under uncultured bacterium. RNAcentral describes it as "partial 16S ribosomal RNA". It matches the Rfam family "Bacterial small subunit ribosomal RNA", at positions 28 to 507 of the family's 1533-position model. The record is from RNAcentral.
GACGAACGCUGGCGGCGUGCUUAACACAUGCAAGUCGAACGAAGAGCGAUGGAAGCUUGCUUCUAUCAAUCUUAGUGGCGCACGGGUGAGUAACGCGUAAUCAACCUGCCCUUCAGAGGGGGACAACAGUUGGAAACGACUGCUAAUACCGCAUACGAUCUAAUCUCGGCAUCGAGGAUAGAUGAAAGGUGGCCUCUACAUGUAAGCUAUCACUGACGGAGGGGAUUGCGUCUGAUUAGCUAGUUGGAGGGGUAACGGCCCACCAAGGCGAUGAUCAGUAGCCGGUCUGAGAGGAUGAACGGCCACAUUGGGAAUGAGACACGGCCCAGACCCCUACGGGAGGCAGCAGGGGGGAAUCUUCCGCAAUGGACGAAAGUCUGACGGAGCAACGCCGCGGGAGUGAUGAAGGCCUUCGGGUUGUAAAGCUCUGUUAAUCGGGACGAAAGGCCUUCUUGCGAAUAGUGAGAAGGAUUGACGGUACCGGAAUAGAAAGCCACGGCUAACUACGUG